RNAcentral lists this ribosomal RNA (305 nucleotides) under uncultured bacterium. Its description in RNAcentral is "bacterial SSU rRNA". It matches the Rfam family "Bacterial small subunit ribosomal RNA", at positions 337 to 639 of the family's 1533-position model. The record is from RNAcentral.
CCCUACGGGGCGCAGCAGUGAGGAAUAUUGGUCAAUGGGCGGGAGCCUGAACCAGCCAAGUCGCGUGAAGGAAGAAGGUACUUAGUAUUGUAAACUUCUUUUGUCGGGGAACAAAGGCGGAGACGCGUCUCCGGAUGAGUGUACCCGAAGAAAAAGCAUCGGCUAACUCCGUGCCAGCAGCCGCGGUAAUACGGAGGAUGCGAGCGUUAUCCGGAUUUAUUGGGUUUAAAGGGUGCGUAGGCGGCCUUUUAAGUCAGCGGUGAAAGUCUGUGGCUCAACCAUAGAAUUGCCGUUGAAACUGGGGG